CGAACCACGUCGUCUGGUUCUGCCGGGCCCUCUCCGCG
This 38-nucleotide non-coding RNA is filed under the name uncultured Pelagophyceae. Lineage: Eukaryota; Pelagophyceae. The record is from RNAcentral.